GAGAUGACCUAGAGCCUUUGGCUUCUCCGCC
RNAcentral lists this non-coding RNA (31 nucleotides) under Homo sapiens (human). Lineage: Eukaryota; Metazoa; Chordata; Mammalia; Primates; Hominidae. The record is from RNAcentral.